RNAcentral lists this ribosomal RNA (437 nucleotides) under uncultured Alphaproteobacteria bacterium. Its description in RNAcentral is "bacterial SSU rRNA". It matches the Rfam family "Bacterial small subunit ribosomal RNA", at positions 29 to 505 of the family's 1533-position model. Lineage: Bacteria; Pseudomonadati; Pseudomonadota; Alphaproteobacteria. The record is from RNAcentral.
AACGAACGCUGGCGGCAGGCUUAACACAUGCAAGUCGAGGGAGAAGCUCUUCGGAGUGGAGACCGGCGCACGGGUGAGUAACGCGUAGCAACCUACCUUAAAGUGGGGAAUAACCAUUAGAAAUGAUGGCUAAUGCCCCAUAUGCCCUACGGGGGAAAGAUUUAUCGCUUUAAGAUGGGGCUGCGUUAGAUUAGCUAGUUGGUAAGGUAAUGGCUUACCAAGGCGACGAUCUAUAGCUGGUCUGAGAGGAUGAUCAGCCACACUGGAACUGAGACACGGUCCAGACUCCUACGGGAGGCAGCAGUGGGGAAUAUUGGACAAUGGGCGCAAGCCUGAUCCAGCCAUGCCGCGUGAGUGAUGAAGGCCUUCGGGUUGUAAAACUCUUUCGCUAGUGAUGAUAAUGACAGUAGCUAGAGAAGAAGCACCGGCUAAAUCCG